This 464-nucleotide ribosomal RNA is filed under the name uncultured bacterium. Its description in RNAcentral is "partial 16S ribosomal RNA". It matches the Rfam family "Bacterial small subunit ribosomal RNA", at positions 28 to 507 of the family's 1533-position model. The record is from RNAcentral.
GACGAACGCUGGCGGCGUGCUUAACACAUGCAAGUCGAACGAUGAAGCCAGCUUGCUGGUGGAUUAGUGGCGAACGGGUGAGUAACACGUGGGUGAUCUGCCCCAAACUUUGGGAUAAGCCUGGGAAACUGGGUCUAAUACCGAAUAUGACCGAUACUCGCAUGGGUGUUGGUGGAAAGCUCCGGCGGUUUGGGAUGGGCCCGCGGCCUAUCAGCUUGUUGGUGGGGUAAUGGCCUACCAAGGCGACGACGGGUAGCCGGCCUGGGAGGGCGACCGGCCACACUGGGACUGAGACACGGCCCAGACUCCUACGGGAGGCAGCAGUGGGGAAUAUUGCACAAUGGGCGCAAGCCUGAUGCAGCGACGCCGCGUGAGGGAUGACGGCCUUCGGGUUGUAAACCUCUUUCACCAGGGACGAAGCGAAAGUGACGGUACCUGGAGAAGAAGCACCGGCCAACUACGUG